This 164-nucleotide ribosomal RNA is filed under the name Pseudoraphis sordida. Its description in RNAcentral is "5.8S ribosomal RNA". It matches the Rfam family "5.8S ribosomal RNA". Rfam says of the family: 5.8S ribosomal RNA (5.8S rRNA) is a component of the large subunit of the eukaryotic ribosome. It is transcribed by RNA polymerase I as part of the 45S precursor that also contains 18S and 28S rRNA. The record is from RNAcentral. Lineage: Eukaryota; Viridiplantae; Streptophyta; Magnoliopsida; Poales; Poaceae.
CAAACGACUCUCGGCAACGGAUAUCUCGGCUCUCGCAUCGAUGAAGAACGUAGCAAAAUGCGAUACCUGGUGUGAAUUGCAGAAUCCCGUGAACCAUCGAGUUUUUGAACGCAAGUUGCGCCCGAGGCCUUCUGGCUGAGGGCACGCCUGCCUGGGCGUCACGC